CCUACGGGAGGCAGCAGUGAGGAAUAUUGGUCAAUGGGCGCAAGCCUGAACCAGCCAAGUAGCGUGAAGGAUGACUGCCCUACGGGUUGUAAACUUCUUUUAUAAAGGAAUAAAGUGAGGCACGUGUGCCUUUUUGUAUGUACUUUAUGAAUAAGGAUCGGCUAACUCCGUGCCAGCAGCCGCGGUAAUACGGAGGAUCCGAGCGUUAUCCGGAUUUAUUGGGUUUAAAGGGAGCGUAGGCGGCCUGUUAAGUCAGUGGUGAAAGUUUGUGGCUCAACCGUAAAAUUGCAGUUGAUACUGGGAGCCUUGAGUAUAGUUGAGGCAGGCGGAAUUCGUGGUGUAGCGGUGAAAUGCUUAGAUAUCACGCAGAACCCCGAUUGCGAAGGCAGCCUACUAAAC
Molecule: ribosomal RNA, 399 nt
Filed under: uncultured bacterium
Lineage: Bacteria
Description: partial 16S ribosomal RNA
Rfam family: Bacterial small subunit ribosomal RNA
Source: RNAcentral